GAUGAACGCUGGCGGCGUGCUUAACACAUGCAAGUCGAACGGGAAUUAUUUUAUUGCAACUUCGGUCGAUUUAAUUUAAUUCUAGUGGCGGACGGGUGAGUAACGCGUGGGUAACCUGCCUUAUACAGGGGGAUAACAGUCAGAAAUGGCUGCUAAUACCGCAUAAGCGCACAGAGCUGCAUGGCUCAGUGUGAAAAACUCCGGUGGUAUAAGAUGGACCCGCGUUGGAUUAGCUGGUUGGUGGGGUAACGGCCCACCAAGGCGACGAUCCAUAGCCGGCCUGAGAGGGUGAACGGCCACAUUGGGUCUGAGACACGGCCCAGACUCCUACGGGAGGCAGCAGUGGGGAAUAUUGCACAAUGGGGGAAACCCUGAUGCAGCGACGCCGCGUGAAGGAAGAAGUAUCUCGGUAUGUAAACUUCUAUCAGCAGGGAAGAUAGUGACGGUACCUGACGAAGAAGCCCCGGCUAACUACGUG
RNAcentral lists this ribosomal RNA (478 nucleotides) under uncultured bacterium. RNAcentral describes it as "partial 16S ribosomal RNA". It matches the Rfam family "Bacterial small subunit ribosomal RNA", at positions 28 to 507 of the family's 1533-position model. The record is from RNAcentral.